RNAcentral lists this ribosomal RNA (484 nucleotides) under uncultured bacterium. RNAcentral describes it as "partial 16S ribosomal RNA". It matches the Rfam family "Bacterial small subunit ribosomal RNA", at positions 30 to 507 of the family's 1533-position model. The record is from RNAcentral.
AUUGAACGCUGGCGGCAGGCCUAACACAUGCAAGUCGAGCGGAUGAAGGGAGCUUGCUCCUGGAUUCAGCGGCGGACGGGUGAGUAAUGCCUAGGAAUCUGCCUGGUAGUGGGGGAUAACGUCCGGAAACGGGCGCUAAUACCGCAUACGUCCUGAGGGAGAAAGUGGGGGAUCUUCGGACCGCACGCUAUCAGAUGAGCCUAGGUGGGAUUAGCUAGUUGGUGGGGUGAAGGCCUACCAAGGCGACGAUCCGUAACUGGUCUGAGAGGAUGGUCAGUCACACUGGAACGGGGACACGGUCCAGACUCCUACGGGAGGCAGCAGUGGGGAAUGUUGGACAAUGGGCGAAAGCCUGAUCCAGCCAUGCCGCGUGUGUGAAGAAGGUCUUCGGAUUGUAAAGCACUUUAAGUUGGGAGGAAGGGCAGUAAGUUAAUACCUUGCUGUUUUGACGUUACCAACAGAAGAAGCACCGGCUAACUUCGUG